Molecule: ribosomal RNA, 704 nt
Filed under: Candolleomyces candolleanus
Lineage: Eukaryota; Fungi; Basidiomycota; Agaricomycetes; Agaricales; Psathyrellaceae
Description: eukaryotic LSU rRNA
Rfam family: 5.8S ribosomal RNA (bases 283-436)
Source: RNAcentral
UCCGUAGGUGAACCUGCGGAAGGAUCAUUAACGAAUAUCUAUGGCGUUGGUUGUAGCUGGCUCCUAGGAGCAUUGUGCACGCCCGUCAUUCAUAUCAUCUUUCCACCUGUGAACCAUGUGUAGGCCUGGAUACCCCUCGCUUUGGCAACAAAGCGGAUGCAAGGAUUGCUGCGUCGACAAGGCCGGCUCUCUUUGAAUUUCCAGGUUCUAUGUCUUUUACACACCCCAUUCGAAUGAUUUAGAAUGUAGUCAAUGGGCUUUCAUGCCUAUAAAAAACUAUACAACUUUCAGCAACGGAUCUCUUGGCUCUCGCAUCGAUGAAGAACGCAGCGAAAUGCGAUAAGUAAUGUGAAUUGCAGAAUUCAGUGAAUCAUCGAAUCUUUGAACGCACCUUGCGCUCCUUGGUAUUCCGAGGAGCAUGCCUGUUUGAGUGUCAUUAAAUUCUCAACCUCACCAGUUUUGUAACGAGACAGGUGAAGGCUUGGAUGUGGGGGUUUUGCAGGCUGCCUCAGUGCUGGUCUGCUCCCCUGAAAUGCAUUAGCGAGCUCAUAUUGAGCUUCCGUCUAUUGGUGUGAUAAUUAUCUACGCCGUGGAUUGGACUCAUGCUUGCUUCUAACCGUCCGCGAGGACAAUUUACUUGACCAAUUUGACCUCAAAUCAGGUAGGACUACCCGCUGAACUUAAGCAUAUCAAUAAGCGGAGGA